UACGAAGGGGGCUAGCGUUGCUCGGAAUGACUGGGCGUAAAGGGCGCGUAGGCGGAUUGUACAGUCAGACGUGAAAUUCCUGGGCUCAACCUGGGGACUGCGUUUGAGACGUAUGAUCUUGAGUGAGGAAGAGGGUUGUGGAAUUCCCAGUGUAGAGGUGAAAUUCGUAGAUACUGGGAAGAACACCGGUGGCGAAGGCGGCAACCUGGUCCUUGACUGACGCUGAGGCGCGAAAGCGUGGGGAGCAAACAGG
RNAcentral lists this ribosomal RNA (253 nucleotides) under uncultured bacterium. RNAcentral's name for it is "partial 16S ribosomal RNA". It matches the Rfam family "Bacterial small subunit ribosomal RNA", at positions 524 to 776 of the family's 1533-position model. The record is from RNAcentral.